RNAcentral lists this ribosomal RNA (325 nucleotides) under uncultured soil bacterium. RNAcentral's name for it is "bacterial SSU rRNA". It matches the Rfam family "Bacterial small subunit ribosomal RNA", at positions 26 to 346 of the family's 1533-position model. The record is from RNAcentral.
AGGAUGAACGCUGGCGGCGUGCUUAACACAUGCAAGUCGAACGAUGAAGGCUGGAGCUUGCUCUGGCUGGAUUAGUGGCGAACGGGUGAGUAACACGUGAGUAACCUGCCCCAGACUCUGGGAUAAGCGCUGGAAACGGCGUCUAAUACCGGAUACGAGCUUCCACCGCAUGGUGAGGAGCUGGAAAGAUUUCGGCUGGGAUGGACUCGCGGCCUAUCAGCUUGUUGGUGAGGUAAUGGACUCACCAAGGCGACGACGGGUAGCCGGCCUGAGAGGGUGACCGGCCACGACUGGGACUGAGACACGGGCCCAGACUCCUACGGGA